AUCGCUACAAGCUACUCAUGGACUUCGUCAUUGGGCAUUACUGUGCACCUGAUUAUCAGCUUGAUUUCACCAAACAACAAUAUGACGUCUAAGCAUCCAGGCUAAAAAUAAAGCGUAUGUUCUUUUUAAAACUCAGGUACGGACCUGCGAAUUCGCGGGUAUGCUCUAGUCUCGAUAACGACCUUCAUAACCUAUCAAUAUGUUAAGCUUAUUUUGACUCCUUA
This 224-nucleotide long non-coding RNA is filed under the name Mytilus galloprovincialis (Mediterranean mussel). The record is from RNAcentral. Lineage: Eukaryota; Metazoa; Mollusca; Bivalvia; Mytilida; Mytilidae.